This is a long non-coding RNA of Marmota flaviventris (yellow-bellied marmot), 704 nucleotides long. RefSeq lists it as uncharacterized. NCBI's taxonomy places the organism in Eukaryota, Metazoa, Chordata, Mammalia, Rodentia, Sciuridae. The record is from RefSeq and is a predicted model, not a curated record.
CACGUGCACACGGUUCCACACAAGCCCGUGAUUUGUCCUGGAGCAGCAGCACACAAGCGCAAGGUCCAGCUCAGGAGCCGUCCCAAUCGGUUAGAGAUGGCAGCCUAGGGCUCUGUAUCCCCAGGGACUCUCGGCUGGCCAGCCCCUUGCAGGCGAGAGCUGUGGCCGCUCAGCAAGGUCUGCGGGCAUGGGGGCCACGGCCUGCCACUCCUGUUGCCAGGCACCGCUCCUGUGCGCUUGAGGAAGCUGGGGUUCACUGACUUUCAAAAUGACAAGGUCCUCCCUGAGCUGGGAAAAUCUCCCCCUCAGGACAUCACCCGACCUUGCCCCGACUUCUAGGACUCUAACACAGCUGGGCUCUUGACCCUUCCUCCCAUGCUCAAGCCCAAGAGGUCACAACCUCGUUGCUCAGCCUUGACCUUGGACACAGGCCUGUUAAUCUGAAAACCGCGCAGAGAUAACAGCACAGUAGCCGAUAACCGAAGCCACGUCUCCCCAUGAGGCAGGUGUCCCCAGCGAGUGUGUGUUGUGGAGUCCUGGCCACCUUCAUGUCCACGCAGUUCCCAGCCAGGCAGAUCCCCCUCCCCACUCCCAGCAGCACCCCACCCUUCCUACAGCCACAGGGCAACCUCCAACAAAGCUGAAGGAAGAUGCUGAGGAGUCACUCCCAGCAUCUUCCACGAUAAUAAAUAAAAACAAAUGUG